AAAAAAGGAGCAAGGAACCAACAGGGAUUGCCCCAGUAACGGCGAGUGAAGCGGCAACAGCUCAAAUUUGAAAUCUGGCCCCCUCGGGGCCCGAGUUGUAAUUUGCAGAGGGAGCUUUUGGCGUCGGUCGUGGUCUAAGUUCCUUGGAACAGGACGUCACAGAGGGUGAGAAUCCCGUACGUGGCCGCCGGCCUUCGCCUUGUAAAGCCCCUUCGACGAGUCGAGUUGUUUGGGAAUGCAGCUCUAAAUGGGAGGUAAAUUCCUUCUAAAGCUAAAUACCCGCCAGAGACCGAUAGCGCACAAGUAGAGUGAUCGAAAGAUGAAAAGCACUUUGGAAAGAGAGUGAAAAAGCACGUGAAAUUGUUGAAAGGGAAGCGCUUGCGGCUAGACGUGCCCGCGGUUGAUCAUCCAGGCUCCGGCCUGGUGCACUCCUCCGCGGGCAGGCCAGCAUCAGUUCGGGCGGUCGGAUAAAGGCCUCUGUCACGUACCACCCCUCGGGGUGGCCUUAUAGGGGAGGCGCAACACGGCCAGCCCGGACUGAGGUUCCGCGCAUCUGCUAGGAUGCUGGCGUAAUAGCAGCAAGCGGCCCGUCUUGAAACACGGACCAAGGAGUCUAACAUCUAUGCGAGUGUUUGGGUGUCAAGCCCGAGCGCGCAAUGAAAGUGAACGGAGGUGGGAACCCUCACGGGUGCACCAUCGACCGAUCCUGAUGUCUUCGGAUGGAUUUGAGUAAGAGCAUAGCUGUUGGGACCCGAAAGAUGGUGAACUAUGCCUGAAUAGGGUGAAGCCAGAGGAAACUCUGGUGGAGGCUCGCAGCGGUUCUGACGUGCAAAUCGAUCGUCAAAUUUGGGCAUAGGGGCGAAAGACUAAUCGAACCAUCUAGUAGCUGGUUCCUGCCGAAGUCUCCUCUCAGGAUA
Molecule: ribosomal RNA, 917 nt
Filed under: Corynespora sp. MFLUCC 11-0431
Lineage: Eukaryota; Fungi; Ascomycota; Dothideomycetes; Pleosporales; Corynesporascaceae
Description: eukaryotic LSU rRNA
Rfam family: Eukaryotic large subunit ribosomal RNA
Source: RNAcentral